RNAcentral lists this ribosomal RNA (338 nucleotides) under uncultured archaeon. RNAcentral describes it as "bacterial SSU rRNA". It matches the Rfam family "Archaeal small subunit ribosomal RNA", at positions 514 to 852 of the family's 1478-position model. The record is from RNAcentral.
AGCAUCCGUAGCCUGUUCUGUAGGUCCCCUGUUAAAUCCAACGGCUUAACCGUUGGCCUGCAGGGGAUACCGCAGGACUAGGAGGCGGGAGAGGUGGGCGGUACUCCACGUGUAGGGGUAAAAUCCUUUGAUCCGUGGAAGACCACCAGUGGCGAAGGCGGCCCACCAGAACGCGCUCGACGGUGAGGGAUGAAAGCUGGGGGAGCGAACCGGAUUAGAUACCCGGGUAGUCCCAGCCGUAAACGAUGCAAGCUAGAUGAUCCGGUCGCAAAUCGCGAUCGGAGUGUCGCAGGGAAGCCGUUAAGCUUGCCGCCUGGGGAGUACGGUCGCAAGACUGA